GAUGAACGCUGGCGGCGUGCCUAAUACAUGCAAGUCGAGCGAACGGACGAGAAGCUUGCUUCUCUGAUGUUAGCGGCGGACGGGUGAGUAACACGUGGAUAACCUCCCUAUAAGACUGGGAUCACUUCGGGAAACCGGAGCUAAUACCGGAUAAUAUUUUGAACCGCAUGGUUCAAAGGUGAAUGACGGUCUUGCUGUCACUUAUAGAUGCAUCCGCGCUGCAUUAGCUAGUUGGUAAGGUAACGGCUUACCAAGGCAACGAGGCAUAGCCGAGCUGAGAGGGUGAUCGGCCACACUGGAACUGAGACACGGUCCAGACUCCUACGGGAGGCAGCAGUAGGGAAUCUUCCGCAAUAGGCGAAAGCCUGACGGAGCAACGCCGAGUGAGUGAUGAAGGUCUUCGGAUCGUAAAACUCUGUUAUUAGGGAAGAACAUAUGUGUAAGUAACUGUGCACAUCUUGACGGUACCGAAUCAGAAAGCCACGGCUAACUACGUG
Molecule: ribosomal RNA, 497 nt
Filed under: uncultured bacterium
Lineage: Bacteria
Description: partial 16S ribosomal RNA
Rfam family: Bacterial small subunit ribosomal RNA
Source: RNAcentral